AUUGAACGCUGGCGGCAUGCCUUACACAUGCAAGUCGAACGGCAGCACGGGAGCAAUCCUGGUGGCGAGUGGCGAACGGGUGAGUAAUGUAUCGGAACGUGCCCAGUCGUGGGGGAUAACGUAGCGAAAGCUACGCUAAUACCGCAUACGAUCUAUGGAUGAAAGCGGGGGACCGUAAGGCCUCGCGCGAUUGGAGCGGGCGAUAUCAGAUUAGGUAGUUGGUGGGGUAAAGGCCUACCAAGCCGACGAUCUGUAGCUGGUCUGAGAGGACGACCAGCCACACUGGGACUGAGACACGGCCCAGACUCCUACGGGAGGCAGCAGUGGGGAAUUUUGGACAAUGGGCGCAAGCCUGAUCCAGCAAUGCCGCGUGCAGGAUGAAGGCCUUCGGGUUGUAAACUGCUUUUGUACGGAGCGAAAAGGCUCUCUCUAAUACAGGGGGCUCAUGACGGUACCGUAAGAAUAAGCACCGGCUAACUACGUGCCAGCCGCCGCAAGUAA
This 501-nucleotide ribosomal RNA is filed under the name uncultured bacterium. RNAcentral describes it as "partial 16S ribosomal RNA". It matches the Rfam family "Bacterial small subunit ribosomal RNA", at positions 30 to 523 of the family's 1533-position model. The record is from RNAcentral.